Potamilus streckersoni is the source of this 73-nucleotide non-coding RNA. NCBI's taxonomy places the organism in Eukaryota, Metazoa, Mollusca, Bivalvia, Unionida, Unionidae. The record is from the annotation of a GenBank genome assembly.
CAUCUGGUGGCUUAAUGGUUGGAGCGUCCGCCUCGGAUGCGGGCGGUCGCUGAUUCGAACCAAGGCUAAGUCA